Molecule: RNA transcript, 3700 nt
Organism: Drosophila novamexicana
Lineage: Eukaryota; Metazoa; Arthropoda; Insecta; Diptera; Drosophilidae
Gene: Rb97D
Gene name: ribonucleoprotein RB97D
Exons: 7
Source: RefSeq, a predicted model, not a curated record
GAUAGUCACGUACUACGAUGUAUAUUGCACAUCCCUGAAAUUUUCUUCGCGUGCGUGUCUGACGAGCUGUAGUUUUGCAUUUUUUUUUUGUAAAUUUAAUUAAACUUGCGCCAAAUAUGGCAAACACACCGCAAGUAGUCAAAUUAGAGGAUACCGCCGAAGAGCCCGAGAUAUUCGAAAUCAAAGACGAAGAUGACAUUUGUGAAUUGGAGCACUUGCGCAAGCUGUUUAUUGGCGGCCUGGCGCCCUACACCACAGAGGAGGGCCUCAAAGUGUUCUAUUCCCAGUGGGGCAAGGUGGUCGAUGUUGUUGUGAUGCGAGAUGCCGCCACUAAGCGUUCACGUGGCUUUGGGUUUAUAACCUAUACAAAGUCCGCCAUGGUAGAUACUGCGCAAGAGAACCGACCGCAUAUCAUUGACGGCAAAACUGUGGAGGCAAAACGCGCUCUGCCGCGUCCGGAGCGUGAGACACGUGAAACGAACAUAUCGGUUAAAAAGCUGUUCGUCGGCGGUCUAAAGGACAAUCACGAUGAGGAUUGCCUGCGCGAAUAUUUCCUGCAAUUCGGCAAUGUGGUGUCCGUGAAAUUGCUCACAGACAAAACUACCGGCAAGCGUCGAGGCUUUGCCUUUAUCGAGUUCGAUGACUACGAUGCCGUAGACAAGGCGAUACUUCAAAGACAGCACUCGAUUAAAUACGUGCUCGUCGACGUUAAAAAGUCCAUAUACAAUCUGGAAAAGAAAGACAGAAUGGCACAGGGCGCCACAGCCAACGGCAACAAGAUGCCGCAGCAGCAGCAGCCGCCGCCUAAAACUAACAUGCCCCCAACUGGCUACCGUCCCCAAGUGCCUCCGCCGCAGCAAAUGCCGCCGUAUCAGCAUCAACCGCCGCCGCCACCCAUGACCGCUCCGCCACCAAACUACAACUAUUGGGGGCCACCGCCGCCCAUGCAGCCUUAUUACCAGCAGCCGCCGCCGCCUCAAAUGAAUGCGUGGAAUGCUUAUCCGCCUGCGCAGAAUGGCUGGAAUGCACCACCGCCUCCACCACCCGGUGCUCAGCAGUGGCAUGCCAACCAGUGGGGCGGCCCGCCGGCGGUACAGCCGCCAACACCUGGCGUGCCACCGGCUGGUCAUCAUCGCAGCGGUCCACCGCCGCAAGUGGUGGGCAACUGGAAUAUGCCGCCGUCUGGGGCACCACCAGUACCUGGUUCCAUGCCGGUAACACAGGGCCCGCCACCCCAUCAGCCGCCACCACCACAGCAGCAACAGCCACCGCCGCCAAACUUUGGCAGCGGCUAUCAACAAAACUAUGGCGGUGGCCCAACUAAACACAACAACAUGAAUGGCAACCGCAUGAAUCCGUACGCUGCACCACCCAGCAGCUAUCACAACGCGCAGCCACCAGCACCCGGCUAUGCGCCCUACAAUGCCGCAGCUCCGCCGCCCAGUGGCGGUGGUCCACCCUCGGGACCCGUACCUAAGAAUAUUUCAAAUGGAUCGGUGGCCACCGGGGGCAGCGCGAACAGCAAAUAUCGCCGUUAGUCGGGAUGCCUUUUUGUGUGUGCCUUAAAAGCAGCACAAAAGCUCAGAAUUCAAGAUACAAAUACAGAUACUGAUACUGAUAAAUAGGCUCGUAGUAAGCUAGGACACACACUCGCUUAGUAACUUAAAAACAGGAUAAAUAUAAUAUAUUAACUGCGUUGUCUCUCUCUCACUAUAUAUAUAAAUAUAUAUAUAUAUACGUUUAUAUCUAACUGAGCGUACGGCAACAACUAACUAAAGUUUUUAACUCCUUAACUUAAGCUCUAAUGUUAUUUAUUGAACGAUUGAUAUCCAUCUAUGUUUGUAUUUAAGCGAUACUCGGCCUAUUAAUAAGACAAAUAUUUGAUACAACUCUGAGUUGUAGCGAAAGUCGUUUCAUUUUAUUUACUGUUAACUUGCCAUGCAUAAUUUUCUCUCCAAAAAAAAAAAAACUAAGUUAUUAUAAUACAAAUUGUAAACCCAAAUUAGAACUUAACCAACUAGUGCUCUCUUAUUCUCUCUUCAUAUUAGAAUUAUUUAUGCCUAAAAUGUAAUUCCAGUCUAUAAAUACAAACGAAGUAGAGUGCCCGUGCCCGUGCGUAGCUCAGCAUUAGAACACCGUAAACGUGUAUUUUUGUAAACGAAUUAGACUUUAACGAAAACCUUUAGCAGCCGAGCUUAUAUAGAGCUAGUUUGCACAGCUCUCGUAUAUAUUAUAAUUAAUAGACGCCUUAAUACUCGUAAAACCAAAAAAAAAAGAAGUCAACUUGGCCGACGAGCAAAAUACCAAAUGAAGAAAUUAAAAGAUACGUCCAAGUAAUAUGUAACAUUCAAUCAAAUCGAAAGGCUGUUGAGCAACGCACGGCUGCGCACAUCAAGUAAUAAUAUAUGAUAUAAAAUAGAAAAGUUUAAUACUGUAGCCAUAUAAAUAAUUCUAUCCAAAUUACUGUCAAUUUGUAUAAACAUAAAUGUAUAUAAAUAUAUAUAUACAUAUAUAUAUAUAUAUAUAUAUAUACGUAUAUGACUGUACGCUCUACUUAAAUUUAUCAUUAAGUUGUAAACGGUUUCCUCACACUCAAAACUCAAUUUGCAAUUGCUGCAAAUCGAUCGAAUGCCCACAAUAUUCAAAUGCUGCACAUUUAGCAGUUUAUAUGUGUAGAGCCAAUCUUUAGAUAAUGCUUUACAGAUUCAAAAUACGAUUACUUUUUAUUAUUCAAAAUAUUUAAAGAACAAAAGAGACGAACGUUGAAGGAACGGCUGAUUUGUUAUUGUGCGACAAUUAUGUGUUUAAUAGCAAAAAAUUUCAAAAUACAAAAUAUUAAUGGAUUUAUGUGCUUGUAAUCAGCCACGACAUGAACUCUAAGUUUAGCAUUAAUUUAUAAAUAAUAUAGAUGUUGCUGCUAUAUCUUGAUAUGUAUAUGGAUAUGUUUAGGUUUUGUAGCGCACGCCAAAGGCUUUAACGAUUACGAUUUCAGUUUAUAUUUUAACAAUAUGAUAUACUAUGUAUUAGAUUAUGCAAGGCCUAACUAAGAGAGUCCCUAAUUUGCCAGUUUAAUAUAGCUCUACACAAUAUAACUUACUAUAUAAUUAUUAUAUAUACAUUUAUGAAAAACAAGUUUCAUUAUAUUUAUUUUUAAAUAAAUAAAUUCUUAAAACCCACACUAUGUAUCUUAAUAUUUACUUGAGCUGUGCCCUAGCUGCAAUAUUAAGUAAGUCUUUGCGGAUAACUAAGUACUUAAAGUUCUACUUAGCCAACAAUCUAUUUAAUUAACAAUUAAAUUUAGUUAAACUUAUGCCUAUGCAGCUCUAGAAACAAGUGCAAGCAGCAGUUAUUGUCUCUCUAAAUAUAUAUUUAUAUGAUUUUUAUUGUAUGUUUUCGCGGGCUUGCGUCAAGCUUUUUAAGGUAAGUUAGUGGAACCUUAUUAACUAACUAGUCUAGAUGAAUGCUUAAGUACCGCUAUCUAUACGUAUUUAGCACACAAAAAACACUUAAAUGCAGCAUUUCUAAAAUUACCAAAUCCCUAUUUCUUUCCACACAACACACAAGAAACAAAACCCCACUAAAGCACUUCCGGAUGCACUGAGACAACAAAGUAUCUAGAUUUCGAUCCAUCGCCAACAAGUUGGCGAGCCCAAUGCCAUGUUGUGCGCGCCUGUGCUCCAGUUAAGCGAUAUGUGUGGAC